GCAGGUGGUUUGCUCCCUGAGGCAGGACACUGAAGGGUAUUCUCUGAGCUUGCUGCUGAAGUGCACCAUUGAGGGUUGCUGGUGGUUGCUCUUUCCCCUCCUGCUCUCUGUUUUAUCCAGUUAGCUUAUAAUCUCUUUGGGCAAGGACCUCCUGUUCUUGUGUGUUUGACUAGCAUAAUGAGGUAAAGAAGUCUUUGAUUUAUCCAUUUACUACUCUUUGAUGACUGCAGUUUCUCUCAUUUAGAGAAAGACAUUGUCCUUGGAUUUCAGUCCAGUUCCAGGCGGAUGGCUGUCCUCAUCCCAAAGUCUGCCAUAACAAUUUGCUAAGAAAGCUGAAUCAUUUGCCUUCUACUUUGGGAAGUUGUUCCUGCAGUCAUGAAUAAGGUUCCUGUGUGUAAGCCUGUUAAGAAAAACAAAGAAGUCAGCUUAUCCUUCAGAUCCGACAGCAGCCGCUGCACAGCUCUAGGGCUUUUUGCAUGUACCAGGCAGGGUAACAUCUGCUCCGAAGACUGGCUUUGGUUCUGGAGGGAUCCCUGCAGCCCAGGAUCACAAGCCCCUUUGCAGCCUUCUUGAUGCAGGGGAUGGGAGGUCCUGCGGGGAGGGUUCCUCAAGCCACCUCUGUAGAGCCCCAGGGAACGGGGAGCAUCCACUGCAGGGGUGUGGACACUGAGCUGGGUGCUGCCUGGUUGCAGGGGAGGGACCAGCAGCCCCGGCAUGUUCAGAGCAACCUGUGUCACCAAGGGGGUUAUUAUAAGCAGUGUUUUCCUUUGUUGUUUCCAUUAGAUCAAAAACAUAGUUUGUGCCCUCUCUCUUGGACCAAGCAAAACAUUGCAUACACUUUUGAUUUAUUACAAGGGCAUGCUGCACACAAGUAUCUUUCUUUGUAUUAUGUAUUUAUUUCACAAUAGAGCCCAAUAGAAAAUGCUAUUUACUUUGUCUGUGAUGGGUUUUGUGAGUGCUGUUUGUAAAACAAGUAAACAAAACAAAAAAUGAAACGUAGUUUUGCUGUUUAUCCCCAAGUGCUGCUGAUAGGUUUGCAGUAGACAAAUCAGCUUACCCAUUCUUAUUAAAAUGUUCAGUAUGUUCUCUCUUCUUUAUUAACAAGAUGCCUUUCUUUCUUCCCUGGAAUGAAACCAAGGCCUUUGAAAACAACUUUUUUUUUUUUUUUCAUGGGAGCAAGACAGAAGUCUCCUGCUCUAGAAGCUCCAAAGACAGGCAUUCAUCUGGGAUGCCGGGAGACCCAGUGAAUUUUUUUGAUUAGCAAAGCACAGAGGUUCCCACAGGAGAAAUUCAGGGAAUCUCACUUGAGAAUAGCCAGGUGGUAGGAAUAACUACCUGGUGUAUGAAGCCUGUCAUUAAGUCUCUGGUCGAAACAAGCACACACAGUUUAGGCCAGGUCCCACUUGUCUCAUGAGGAUGUGCUCUAGCUGAGGAGCUUGUGUGGGGAUCCAGAUGUGAGCUUCUAGUGAAAACCAGGGGAUUUCUGCCGAAUUCAAAGCUGCUGCUUGCCUGCGUGUUCUUGCAGCGGGGACAAUCCAGUAAAUCAGCACUGCUUAAUGAAAAUCUCUUUUACCCAAAUACCGUCAGUCAUCUCUACCCUUUUCUCAGA
Cygnus olor (mute swan) is the source of this 1609-nucleotide long non-coding RNA. RefSeq lists it as uncharacterized. The record is from RefSeq and is a predicted model, not a curated record. Lineage: Eukaryota; Metazoa; Chordata; Aves; Anseriformes; Anatidae. The transcript is spliced from 4 exons.